AUGUAUACAUCAUAUAUAUCAUAAAAAAUUUAAAUUUCUACAUCAUAUGCAACAUACAAUUCAGAUCAUAAAAUUUAAUUUUUAUAUUUAAAUUUAUUUUAUUAAAAUUAUAAUUAAUCAUAAAUUAAUUUAGAUCUAAUCUAAAUAUAUUUAUAAUUAAAAUAAUUUUAAAUUUUUUUCACUAUUUUUCAUCAUAAGAUAUGAUCAUAAUGGCACCUC
RNAcentral lists this long non-coding RNA (219 nucleotides) under Elaeis guineensis (African oil palm). Its description in RNAcentral is "long non-coding RNA (EGUI_LNC047762)". The record is from RNAcentral. Lineage: Eukaryota; Viridiplantae; Streptophyta; Magnoliopsida; Arecales; Arecaceae.